AAUCAACGCUGGCGGCGUGCCUAACACAUGCAAGUCGCACGAGAAAGGGUAGCAAUACCUGAGUACAGUGGCGCACGGGUGAGUAACACGUGAAUCAUCUACCUUCGAGUGGGGAAUAACUGGGAGAAAUCUCAGCUAAUACCGCAUAAUACCUACGGGUCAAAGCAGCAAUGCGCUUGAAGAGGAGUUCGCGGCAGAUUAGUUAGUUGGCGGGGUAAUGGCCCACCAAGACGAUGAUCUGUAUCCGGCCUGAGAGGGCGCACGGACACACUGGAAC
RNAcentral lists this ribosomal RNA (277 nucleotides) under uncultured bacterium. Its description in RNAcentral is "partial 16S ribosomal RNA". It matches the Rfam family "Bacterial small subunit ribosomal RNA", at positions 32 to 319 of the family's 1533-position model. The record is from RNAcentral.